AGGUAGUAAAAAUUUAAUAUAAAACCUAUUUAUAAUGGCGGCAUUUCAUCUUAUUAGAGGAACCUGUUCAUUAAUCGACAAUCCACGAUAAUUUUCACUUUUAUUAAAAAUUUAUAUACCGCCAUCUAAAGAAUCAAUUUAAUAAUGUUUUUCUUAAUAAAAAUUAAAAAGUUAGGUCAAGGUGUAAUCCAUAUAAAAGAUUCCUAAUGGGUUACAUUAAAUUACAAUUUAAGAAUUAUAUUAUAACAAUAAUAUAUGAAAAAGGAUUUAAAAGUAAUAAUCAAAUAAUAAUUAAUUAUAAUAGAUAAUAAAUGUGC
RNAcentral lists this ribosomal RNA (317 nucleotides) under Cupiennius cf. granadensis CG254. RNAcentral describes it as "partial 12S ribosomal RNA". Lineage: Eukaryota; Metazoa; Arthropoda; Arachnida; Araneae; Ctenidae. The record is from RNAcentral.